RNAcentral lists this long non-coding RNA (245 nucleotides) under Solanum tuberosum (potato). RNAcentral describes it as "long non-coding RNA (STUB_LNC011431)". The record is from RNAcentral. Lineage: Eukaryota; Viridiplantae; Streptophyta; Magnoliopsida; Solanales; Solanaceae.
UUUCAGCUUAAGUACAUCAACAACCUCUGUACAUUUUGAAACUGGACCCCGAGGAGAGGAUAAAGUAAUGAACUCGCAAUAUGUCUUCACAACGAAGCCUGACAAACUGUUCAACCGUGAAGUUACCUCCAUGCUUCAUCAUCAUUGACAAAUGACAUUGAAUGGGAAAUUCUUAACUAUUGUGUUACUAUUCCAUGGAAUAAAAGCCACAUUUCAUUAGCAGUACAUUCGGAGCAAGUUUCAAA